Molecule: ribosomal RNA, 424 nt
Filed under: uncultured bacterium
Lineage: Bacteria
Description: bacterial SSU rRNA
Rfam family: Bacterial small subunit ribosomal RNA
Source: RNAcentral
UGGGGAAUUUUGGACAAUGGGCGAAAGCCUGAUCCAGCCAUGCCGCGUGAGUGAAGAAGGCCUUCGGGUUGUAAAGCUCUUUUAGUCGGAAAGAAAGAGUUGCAAUGAAUAAUUGUGAUUUAUGACGGUACCGACAGAAAAAGCACCGGCUAACUACGUGCCAGCAGCCGCGGUAAUACGUAGGGUGCGAGCGUUAAUCGGAAUUACUGGGCGUAAAGGGUGCGCAGGCGGUCUUGCAAGUCAGAUGUGAAAGCCCCGGGCGUAACCUUGGCAUUGCGUUUGACGCUACAGGACUAGUGAGCAGUAUAGGUGAGUGGAAUUCCAUGUGUAGCAGUGAAGUGCGUAGAGGUGUGGAAGAACACCGAUGGCGAAGGCAGCUCCCUGGGUUGACACUGACGCUCAUGCACGAAAGCGUGGGGAGCAA